GCCCUCAUAGCUCAGUCUGGAUAGAGCAAAGAACUUCUAAUUCUUAGGCCGUAGGUUCGAAUCCUACUGGGGGCAC
This 76-nucleotide transfer RNA is filed under the name Corynebacterium phage PotatoChip. Its description in RNAcentral is "tRNA-Arg". It matches the Rfam family "tRNA". Rfam says of the family: Transfer RNA (tRNA) molecules are approximately 80 nucleotides in length. Their secondary structure includes four short double-helical elements and three loops (D, anti-codon, and T loops). Further hydrogen bonds mediate the characteristic L-shaped molecular structure. tRNAs have two regions of fundamental functional importance: the anti-codon, which is responsible for specific mRNA codon recognition, and the 3' end, to which the tRNAs corresponding amino acid is attached (by aminoacyl-tRNA synthetases). tRNAs cope with the degeneracy of the genetic code in two manners: having more than one tRNA (with a specific anti-codon) for a particular amino acid; and 'wobble' base-pairing, i.e. permitting non-standard base-pairing at the 3rd anti-codon position. Lineage: Duplodnaviria; Heunggongvirae; Uroviricota; Caudoviricetes; Zierdtviridae. RNAcentral also lists the same sequence under 2 other names. The record is from RNAcentral.